UACGUAGGGACCGAGCGUUGUCCGGAAUCAUUGGGCGUAAAGAGCGUGUAGGCGGCUUGCUAAGUCUUGCGUGAAAUCUCGGGGCUCAACCCCGAGCGGUCGUGGGAAACUGGCAGGCUAGAGUGCGGGAGAGGAGAAUGGAAUUCCUGGUGUAGCGGUGAAAUGCGCAGAUAUCAGGAAGAACACCCGUGGCGAAGGCGGUUCUCUGGAACGGUACUGACGCUGAGACGCGAAAGCGUGGGGAGCGAACAGG
Molecule: ribosomal RNA, 253 nt
Filed under: uncultured bacterium
Lineage: Bacteria
Description: partial 16S ribosomal RNA
Rfam family: Bacterial small subunit ribosomal RNA
Source: RNAcentral